UGUUGGGUGUUUGUCUCGCCUCUGCGUGUAGACUCGCCUUAAAACAAUUGGCAGCCGGCGUAUUGAUUUCGGAGCGCAGUACAUCUCGCGCUUUGCACUCAUAAGGACGACGUCCAAAAGUACAUUUUUACACUCUGACCUCGGAUCAGGGAGGCACCUC
This 160-nucleotide ribosomal RNA is filed under the name Epicoccum sp. RNAcentral's name for it is "partial 28S ribosomal RNA". The record is from RNAcentral. Lineage: Eukaryota; Fungi; Ascomycota; Dothideomycetes; Pleosporales; Didymellaceae.